GCGGGCGUAGCUCAGUGGUAGAGCGCCACCUUGCCAAGGUGGAUGUCGGGAGUUCAAGUCUCCUCGCCCGCUCCA
RNAcentral lists this transfer RNA (75 nucleotides) under Planctomycetota bacterium. RNAcentral's name for it is "Planctomycetes bacterium (bioreactor metagenome) tRNA-Gly". It matches the Rfam family "tRNA". Rfam says of the family: Transfer RNA (tRNA) molecules are approximately 80 nucleotides in length. Their secondary structure includes four short double-helical elements and three loops (D, anti-codon, and T loops). The record is from RNAcentral. Lineage: Bacteria; Pseudomonadati; Planctomycetota.